This is a long non-coding RNA of Pectinophora gossypiella (pink bollworm), 706 nucleotides long. RefSeq lists it as uncharacterized. The transcript has 3 exons. The record is from RefSeq and is a predicted model, not a curated record. Lineage: Eukaryota; Metazoa; Arthropoda; Insecta; Lepidoptera; Gelechiidae.
CCAAUGAUAGUCGAAUUUGUUUUUGAAUUCUACAGAAGGUUACAGGUUAAGUCGACCUACUCCCGUUAAAAGCGUGUAGUUAAUAUCAUUUCUGACUAAUUUGAUUAUGAAACGUCCUGUUCUAAAUCUAACCGUUAAUUAAAUUCAAAUAUCUCAAUAUAAGUAUAAGAUGUAUUUGGUCCAUUAUGUUGAAGCCACACUUAAUUAGUGAUGACACUUAAUAACACCUUAAGAAGAGUAAACUUCUACGAAUCCUACUCCUACUAAUGUACGAUAACGACGUCAAAGAACGAAAGCUUUGAUCUACUCUUUGUGCUCUACAAACUUUAAUAAAUGAUCGAAGUUUUUGUCCGGGGAACGACUUCGGAGUAAAAACAGGACGUCUGCAGAGGACGAGGUAAAGCUCCGAUCAAGGUGACACCCCGGGAGGAAAAUAUGAGGUAACGUAUAUGGUACAGAAAUAGACGUCACCUUUAUUGUUUUACCUACAAACAUAAACAUAUUCCUGCAGUGUACGUGUGUAUUUUUAUGAACUUAGUUAUUCUAGUAACGAUAAUUAUAUUCUACCUAUUCUAUUUUAUUUUUUUACCUAAAAUCUUGUUAUUGAUGUGUACGCCUAUCUGCCCUCUUUUAGUUUUAAGUUUAUCUCUUUCCCGGUUUGCUAGAAGACAUUUCUACUAGAAAUAAGUUGAAUUGUUUAUCUGUA